UACAAAUAACUAAAGUAAUUUGCUCUCUCAA
Molecule: non-coding RNA, 31 nt
Filed under: Rattus norvegicus (Norway rat)
Lineage: Eukaryota; Metazoa; Chordata; Mammalia; Rodentia; Muridae
Source: RNAcentral